UAGGGAAUCUUCCGCAAUGGACGCAAGUCUGACGGAGCAACGCCGCGUGAGUGAAGAAGGAUUUCGGUUCGUAAAACUCUGUUGUUAGAGAAGAACAGCGCAUAGAGUAACUGUUAUGCGUGUGACGGUAUCUAACCAGAAAGCCACGGCUAACUACGUGCCAGCAGCCGCGGUAAUACGUAGGUGGCAAGCGUUGUCCGGAUUUAUUGGGCGUAAAGCGAGCGCAGGCGGUCAAUUAAGUCUGAUGUGAAAGCCCCCGGCUCAACCGGGGAGUGUCAUUGGAAACUGGUUGACUUUAGUGCAGAAGAGGAGGGUGGAAUUCCAUGUGUAGCGGUGAAAUGCUUAGAUAUAUGGAGGAACACCAAUGGCGAAGGCGACUCUCUGGUCUGUAACUGACGCUGAGGCUCGAAAGCGUGGGUAGCAAACAGG
Molecule: ribosomal RNA, 429 nt
Filed under: Bacteroidota bacterium
Lineage: Bacteria; Pseudomonadati; Bacteroidota
Description: Bacteroidetes bacterium partial 16S ribosomal RNA
Rfam family: Bacterial small subunit ribosomal RNA
Source: RNAcentral